GCCGCAUUACAACAGACAGAUGUAUAAAAAAAUUAUUGCUUUCUUGUGCCCAAAACAUAAUCUAAUUCUAAAAUGACAUCCAAGAACUAUAGUGAAUGACAAAGCAACAUUGUCGCAGGGCGGAUGCCGGUAGCUAUAUCGACCAAAGAGAGCUGUGGCUGGGAUGAACCCCCUCUCAAUGUGGAUCCAAGAUAUUUUACACAUGUGCUGCGGUUGGAGCUCUCAACGGGCUCCUCAUAGGACUAUCCGAGACCAAAGACAUGGCUUGGUCUAAGCCACGUAAUGUACAGUCAAUCCCCCGUCUUUGCACAAAUGAAUGGUCUUUUGGAGGCCGUGAUUAAAUUGGAUCUCCUUCACAAGUUAUUUCUGGAUUUGAAAGACAAAGCAGAUUAAGAGUUCCUAAAUCUGGUGACCCUCCAAGGAGCGACAUGGGCGAACACACUUGGCUCACUGGCUUUGAUGUACAGUGUGUUUGGGGGUGGCCAUCGAGAAGGCACGGUUAGCAGAGGAUGACAUCAACACUGUUGCUGCUGGGAUUAUGACAGGCAUGCUGUACAAGUCCACAGGCUGGUAGAGGGUGUGUACGUGGACCAGCGCGAGGGGGCCUGGCUCUGUCAGCUCUCUGUAUAACAACUGAGACCAACUGAAGGGAAACCCUCCCACCCGCUACUGAGCCCGGCAUGGAACAUGGACCAGUCAAAACAUUUCCCCAAAUAUCUUGAUACCUUUGUAGACAUAUCCUCCCUUUCCAUAAUAACUUCUUGUCCCUGAGUUAGGCCCCUAAGGUUGCAUUGAAGGGUGGCCAGGUCUGGAAGAUGUCAAGUGUUAGACCUAAUUUAUGCUGUAAUGCACAUCAACACUGCACAUUGUAUCAAUUUGUUGCUGGUGUUAGGAUUCAUUGCUGUGAAUAUCUGAUCAACUGCCUCUGCACAGCUUUUUCCUAAAUUGCACUAAAUGUCACAUUGAAUCAGUUUUGAGUUGAAUGUUGCAAAGAUUGAAUGCUGUCUUACUGAAGUGAAAGGGUGGACUUUCUUCCUAUGGAUGUCUACAUAAGUAUCUCAUUCCACAACUUUGCAUGUGGUAAUUUUCAAAUGUUUGCUUUAUGCCAAGAGAAUGUUACUGUUAAUUGUAUUAAAGACAAGUCACAGUUUGGUAAACUUA
Oncorhynchus keta (chum salmon) is the source of this 1161-nucleotide RNA transcript. RefSeq lists it as uncharacterized. The record is from RefSeq and is a predicted model, not a curated record. The transcript is spliced from 6 exons. Lineage: Eukaryota; Metazoa; Chordata; Actinopteri; Salmoniformes; Salmonidae.